RNAcentral lists this ribosomal RNA (498 nucleotides) under uncultured bacterium. RNAcentral describes it as "partial 16S ribosomal RNA". It matches the Rfam family "Bacterial small subunit ribosomal RNA", at positions 28 to 523 of the family's 1533-position model. The record is from RNAcentral.
GACGAACGCUGGCGGCGUGCCUAACACAUGCAAGUCGAGCGGAGUCAGUAAGAGGAAGUUUUCGGAUGGAAUCUUAUUGAUUUAGCGGCGGACGGGUGAGUAACGCGUGAGCGACCAACCUUGCACAGGGGGAUAACGGACCGAAAGGUUCACUAAUACCGCAUGAGACCACGGUGUUGCAUGACACAGGGGUCAAAGGAGCAAUCCGGUGCAAGACGGGCUCGCGUCCGAUUAGGUAGUUGGAGGGGUAACGGCCCACCAAGCCUAUGAUCGGUAGCCGACCCGAGAGGGUGAUCGGCCACAUUGGAACUGAGAUACGGUCCAAACUCCUACGGGAGGCAGCAGUGGGGAAUAUUGGGCAAUGGGGGAAACCCUGACCCAGCAACGCCGCGUGAAGGAAGAAGGUUUUCGGAUUGUAAACUUCUGUCCUUGGUGAAGAGAAGAAGACGGUAGCCAAGGAGGAAGCCCCGGCUAACUACGUGCCAGCCGCCGCAGUAA